This 253-nucleotide ribosomal RNA is filed under the name uncultured bacterium. RNAcentral's name for it is "partial 16S ribosomal RNA". It matches the Rfam family "Bacterial small subunit ribosomal RNA", at positions 524 to 776 of the family's 1533-position model. The record is from RNAcentral.
UACAGAGGGUGCGAGCGUUAAUCGGAGUUACUGGGCGUAAAGGGCGCGUAGGCGGUCAUGUAAGUGAGAUGCGAAAUCCCUGGGCUUAACCUAGGAAUUGCAUUUUAAACUGUGUGACUAGAGUACAGUAGAGGGUGGCGGAAUUUCCGGUGUAGCGGUGAAAUGCGUAGAGAUCGGAAGGAACACCAGUGGCGAAGGCGGCCACCUGGACUGAUACUGACGCUGAAGCGCGAGAGCGUGGGGAGCAAACAGG